RNAcentral lists this long non-coding RNA (877 nucleotides) under Lepisosteus oculatus (spotted gar). Its description in RNAcentral is "lncRNA (ENSLOCG00000022344.1)". The record is from RNAcentral. Lineage: Eukaryota; Metazoa; Chordata; Actinopteri; Semionotiformes; Lepisosteidae.
UGGAAGUGGUCUCUUCUCCUCUCACAGAAAAGGAGCAGGGAGUGAGCCUCUCAGAUAAUGAUAAUGUUUGCUGUCAAUAUCUGCAAAUGUCUAAUAAUAACAAUAAAAACAUUUGCUGUAAAUGUCCGUAAUUGAUUCAGCUUCUAAGAGCUUUAUUGGCGUGACCGAUGAAUGACUGCAUCUGUAAAUGUUUUACUAGCUGUUCUUGCUUCGCAAACACCAGACCUCAUGGGUCAAGCCAAUAACGCUCUUUGAAAUUGAAUUUGACUGAUGCAGAACCACAGUUAAGCACGCUGUCCACUCAGAAAGCCUAGUUGCUCAGAAUUCUCAGAAUUGAUCAGGACACCCAGCGUUUUAACUCCCUCACCUCAUCCAAGCCUAGCUGCUAAGAUGCCCUGAGGAUUCAAGAGCCUUUCUUCUGGAGAGCUGUCUAGAGCAGAUCUGUGAUCAAGCUAAGUGUUGCUAAGUGACGAUUUAAGAAAAGAGAAUGAAUGAAUGAUGGCCGCAAGUUACAGCAGGCUGCAAGUUGAACAGAAGAACUUUUCUUUGAUAUCAUCAGUCCUUCUCCCCCAGCACGUCCACAGUCGAGUUCCAGGCAGGAGGGAGAGAAAGUACCCAGCCUGAGAAGAGGUCUCGGGGGCACGCUGUCCACACUUCGGGACUCGGGACACUCUGCCAGCUCUGCGGCCCUGCCAGCGAGGGCACCAGACUCUGCCUGCUCCCCUGACAGAGCCCUCGCUGGUCGAGGUGUUAGUGAACCGAUACUGCUUAAAGCUCGACACGAAGACAGUGAUGGCAGAAAUAAAAAGAAUUCCUUGUGUUAAUGUAGUGCUCCUAUUAAUAGGAUCCCAAGGGGCUUUGUAGUAAGAAGAAGAAA